UGUGAUCUUCUAUAAUAUCGACAUCGUUAUUAUAAUGCGGUUAUCGAAUCUACGCCACAAGAGGAUUUUAAACUUGCGUGCGCUUGUGUGUGUUACAAUACACGCAAAGCUCGCAUUGAGUUGUCUCACGAGACAUAAACACGCGCUGUCGGGGUUGAUGACAUCGUUGAAUUUCAUGUGAGAUACAUGUCGUGCGCUGGUGUGUGUUAGCACACAUGCAAAGCAUAAUCAAUGACGUCACACGGCGUGAAGCAAACGCGUCGUGCGCUGCGUUGUGUGCGUUGUGUGCUGGUGUGUGUGACCAUACAAAGAAAGCUUUACAUCAGCGCGCCGUGGCCACUGGUGGAACCGACUGUUUCUUUGACGAAAGCUAAACUAACCGCUUACAAAAUGGCGCAAUAUGUCACGAAUUUAUCAUGCAUCAAGUUAUAUUUUCUUUAGUAUAAUAAUUACAUUCGUUUAGUUAAGCAACUUGUUUAUGAUAAUUGUAGAAAAGUGUAGAAAAAUGACACUUGCAUUAUAUCCUGGGAUGAAGAAACGUUAUUUUAUGUCGAUUUCUUUAGAUGACAAAGGAGGUAACCAAAUAGCAUA
Ctenocephalides felis (cat flea) is the source of this 591-nucleotide long non-coding RNA. RefSeq lists it as uncharacterized. The transcript is spliced from 2 exons. Lineage: Eukaryota; Metazoa; Arthropoda; Insecta; Siphonaptera; Pulicidae. The record is from RefSeq and is a predicted model, not a curated record.